AUAUAAUCAACCUUCUCUUGUUUUGAGAAUGGUUUGGAUGUGGGGGUUUGCUGGCCUCUCUGAAAAGGUCUUCAGCUCCCCUGAAAUGCAUUAGCAGAACAACCUUUGUUCAUUGGUGUGAUAACUAUCUACGCUUAUGAAUCCGAGGGGCAGUUCAGCUUUCUAAUGGUCUUUGGACAAUUCAUCAUUA
Molecule: unclassified non-coding RNA, 190 nt
Filed under: uncultured Cortinarius
Lineage: Eukaryota; Fungi; Basidiomycota; Agaricomycetes; Agaricales; Cortinariaceae
Description: sequence contains ITS2
Source: RNAcentral